Macrostomum lignano is the source of this 70-nucleotide non-coding RNA. Lineage: Eukaryota; Metazoa; Platyhelminthes; Macrostomidae. The record is from Rfam.
GAGAUUGUAGCCUAUUGGUUAGAGCGUCGGACUUCCGACUUGAAGGUCGGGGGUUCGAUUCCCGAUCCCA